UACGUAGGGUACAAGCGUUAAUCGGAAUUACUGGGCGUAAAGCGUGCGCAGGCGGUUUUGUAAGUCUGUCGUGAAAUCCCCGGGCUCAACCUGGGAAUGGCGAUGGAGACUGCAAGGCUAGAAUCUGGCAGAGGGGGGUAGAAUUCCACGUGUAGCAGUGAAAUGCGUAGAGAUGUGGAGGAACACCGAUGGCGAAGGCAGCCCCCUGGGUCAAGAUUGACGCUCAUGCACGAAAGCGUGGGGAGCAAACAGG
Molecule: ribosomal RNA, 253 nt
Filed under: uncultured bacterium
Lineage: Bacteria
Description: partial 16S ribosomal RNA
Rfam family: Bacterial small subunit ribosomal RNA
Source: RNAcentral